This 261-nucleotide ribosomal RNA is filed under the name uncultured Desulfobulbaceae bacterium. Its description in RNAcentral is "partial 16S ribosomal RNA". It matches the Rfam family "Bacterial small subunit ribosomal RNA", at positions 516 to 776 of the family's 1533-position model. The record is from RNAcentral. Lineage: Bacteria; Pseudomonadati; Thermodesulfobacteriota; Desulfobulbia; Desulfobulbales; Desulfobulbaceae.
AAAACAACUACGGAGGGUGCAAGCGUUGUUCGGAAUUACUGGGCGUAAAGCGCGCGUAGGCGGUUUGUUAAGUCAGAUGUGAAAGCCCAUGGCUCAACCAUGGACGUGCAUUUGAAACUGGCAGACUUGAGUAUUGGAGGGGGUGGUGGAAUUCCCGGUGUAGAGGUGAAAUUCGUAGAUAUCAGGAGGAACACCGGUGGCGAAGGCGACUUCCUGGACCAAUACUGACGCUGAGGCGCGAAGGCGUGGGGAGCAAACAGG